Molecule: ribosomal RNA, 398 nt
Filed under: uncultured bacterium
Lineage: Bacteria
Description: bacterial SSU rRNA
Rfam family: Bacterial small subunit ribosomal RNA
Source: RNAcentral
GACGAACGCUGGCGGCGUGCUUAACACAUGCAAGUCGAGCGGUAAGGCCCUUUCGGGGGUACGACGAGCGGCGAACGGGUGAGUAACACGUGGGUGACCUGCCCUCCAGCUCUGGGAUAAGCCUGGGAAACCGGGUACUAAUACCGGAUAUGACUCCAUGACGCAUGUUGUGGGGUGGAAAGCCUUGUGCGGCUGAGGAUGGGCCCGCGGCCUAUCAGCUUGUUGGUGGGGUGAUGGCCUACCAAGGCGACGACGGGUAGCCGGCCUGAGAGGGCGACCGGCCACACUGGGACUGAGACACGGCCCAGACUCCUACGGGAGGCAGCAGUGGGGAAUCUUGCGCAAUGGGCGAAAGCCUGACGCAGCGACGCCGCGUGAGGGAUGACGGCCUGUGUAAC